Molecule: ribosomal RNA, 460 nt
Filed under: uncultured bacterium
Lineage: Bacteria
Description: partial 16S ribosomal RNA
Rfam family: Bacterial small subunit ribosomal RNA
Source: RNAcentral
CCUACGGGUGGCAGCAGUGAGGAAUAUUGGUCAAUGGACGCAAGUCUGAACCAGCCAUGCCGCGUGCAGGAAGACGGCUCUAUGAGUUGUAAACUGCUUUUGUACGAGGGUAAACGCAGAUACGCGUAUCUGUCUGACAGUAUCGUACGAAUAAGGAUCGGCUAACUCCGUGCCAGCAGCCGCGGUAAUACGGAGGAUUCAAGCGUUAUCCGGAUUUAUUGGGUUUAAAGGGUGCGUAGGCGGUCGGAUAAGUUAGAGGUGAAAUCCCGAGGCUCAACUUCGGAAUUGCCUCUGAUACGGGUAGGCUAGAGAGUAGUUGCGGUAGGCGGAAUGUAUGGUGUAGCGGUGAAAUGCUUAGAGAUCAUACAGAACACCGAUUGCGAAGGCAGCUUACCAAGCUACUUCUGACGUUGAGGCACGAAAGCGUGGGGAGCAAACAGGAUUAGAUACCCUAGUAGUC